RNAcentral lists this ribosomal RNA (254 nucleotides) under uncultured bacterium. RNAcentral describes it as "partial 16S ribosomal RNA". It matches the Rfam family "Bacterial small subunit ribosomal RNA", at positions 524 to 776 of the family's 1533-position model. The record is from RNAcentral.
UACGUAGGCAGCGAGCGUUGUUCGGAGUUACUGGGCGUAAAGGGUGUGUAGGCGGUUGUUUAAGUUCGGUGUGAAAUCUCCCGGCUCAACUGGGAGGGUGCGCCAAAUACUGAAUGACUUCGAGUACGGGAGAGGUGAGUGGAAUUCCUGGUGUAGCGGUGAAAUGCGUAGAUAUCAGGAGGAACACCGGUGGUGUAGACGGCUCACUGGACCGUAACUGACGCUGAGACACGAAAGCGUGGGUAGCAAACAGG